This 237-nucleotide long non-coding RNA is filed under the name Bos taurus (domestic cattle). RNAcentral describes it as "long non-coding RNA NONBTAT022954". Lineage: Eukaryota; Metazoa; Chordata; Mammalia; Artiodactyla; Bovidae. The record is from RNAcentral.
AUCCUGCCCGGUUAGCAGAGAUCAGCCAACUGGAACAUGCACUCCGAGGUUCCUCUUGGGCCCCACCCCUUUCUGUUUUCCCCUUUGGUGAAUGCCCAUCCCCUUAGUAUUCAGAAGACUUUGAGAUUCUCUAAGACCAAUCUCUCCACAAGCUAUAGACCAUUUUUCUACAUCUAUCGAUAGGCUCAGCUCCCCACUCUGUCCCACCAUGAUAUCCCCCUAAUAAAGUCAUACCUU